Molecule: ribosomal RNA, 301 nt
Filed under: uncultured bacterium
Lineage: Bacteria
Description: partial 16S ribosomal RNA
Rfam family: Bacterial small subunit ribosomal RNA
Source: RNAcentral
CAGUAGCCGCGGGAAUACAGAGGGUGCGAGCGUUAAUCGGAUUUACUGGGCGUAAAGCGUGCGUAGGCGGCUUCUUAAGUCGGAUGUGAAAUCCCUGAGCUUAACUUAGGAAUUGCAUUCGAUACUGGGAAGCUAGAGUAUGGGAGAGGAUGGUAGAAUUCCAGGUGUAGCGGUGAAAUGCGUAGAGAUCUGGAGGAAUACCGAUGGCGAAGGCAGCCAUCUGGCCUAAUACUGACGCUGAGGUACAAAAGCAUGGGGAGCAAACAGGAUUAGAUACCCCCGUAGUCCCUGUCUCUUAUAC